UUGCUAUUGGCUGUUUUCUGAUUUCUCUCUCUCUCUCUCUCUCUCUCUCUCUCUCUCUCUGUGUGUGUGUGUGUGUGAGAGAGAGAGAGAGAGAGAGAGAGAGAGAUAAAGAGAAAAUUGACUGUAUAU
This 129-nucleotide microRNA precursor is filed under the name Marmota monax (woodchuck). Lineage: Eukaryota; Metazoa; Chordata; Mammalia; Rodentia; Sciuridae. The record is from RNAcentral.